AGCCAGAUAGCACAGCGGUUAGUGCAUGGAUGUUCGAUUGGCAGUAUUCAAUCCGCUACCCUCGUUCGACUCGGGGUCUGGCCU
Molecule: non-coding RNA, 84 nt
Organism: Mycena metata
Lineage: Eukaryota; Fungi; Basidiomycota; Agaricomycetes; Agaricales; Mycenaceae
Source: the annotation of a GenBank genome assembly